Molecule: long non-coding RNA, 5634 nt
Filed under: Sus scrofa (pig)
Lineage: Eukaryota; Metazoa; Chordata; Mammalia; Artiodactyla; Suidae
Description: lncRNA (ENSSSCG00030043124.1)
Source: RNAcentral
AUAGUGUCAUUUUUUUUUCACACAGAUCCUAAACAUUUCUUGUUCCGUUCAUUCCUAAAUAUGUUUUAGGUGAUUUUUGCUGUUUACAGUGACACUAUCUAUUAUUGUUGUCCCCUUUACAUUUUAUUAUACUUUCAUCAGUUGAGUCUGCCAAAUGUCAAUGGCUUUUAAAUCUGACAUUAUCGGAUUCGUUAACCACUGAGCCAUGACGGGAACUCCAAGAAUUGUUGGGAUUUUAGACGGUAAUAUAGUGCAUAUACCAUACUUUGUCUUUUUUAAAUUUUUUAAUUUCUAUUUUUUAUUUUUUUAUCAUAUAAUUGUUCUUUAUUUUAUUAAAGUAGAGUUGAUUUACACUGUUUCAUCAUGUUCUGUUGCACAGCAAAGUGACCCAGUCACACAGAGUUCCCUGUGCUGUAAACCAGGGCCCCAUUGCCCAUCUACUCCAGAUAUAUAACAGUUUGCGUCCAGAAAACCCCCAAAAUGCACAUCCACUCAACUCCUCCCCCUUCCCCCUAGGAACCCCAGGUCUGCUCUCCUUGGCCAUGAUCUGUUUCUGUUUUUUUAGGUAGGAUCAUUUGUUCUGUAUUUUAGAUUCCAUAGGUAAGUUAUAUCAUAUGGUAUUUGUCUUUUUCUUUCUGGCUGACUUCACUUAGUAUGAGAAUCUGUGGUUCCAUCCAUAUUGCUGCAAGUGGCAUUAGUUUGUUCUUUUUUAUGGCUGAGUAAUAUUCCAUUGUAUAUAUGUACUACAUCUUCUCAAUCCAUUCAUCUGUUGAUGGACAUUUAGGUUGUUUUCAUGUCUUGCCUAUUGUGAAUAGUAUUGCAAUGAACAUAGGGGUGCAUUUAACAUUCACUGAAAAAGAUAAUUUUUCUUCUUUAAUUUGUUUAAGUUACCGAUGGACUGUACUGACUGAUUUUUGAAUGCUGAAUCAGCCUUGCAUAAUUGAAAUAAAUCUCACUUGUCACUGCUGGAUCUUCUUUUCAUAUAAUGUUAGAUUUGAUUUGUUAAAAAAAUUAGGAUAUUUUUAGCUGUAGUUAUGGGAGAUACUGGUUUGUAGUUUUCAUUUCUUGCGUUUUUAUAUCUUCUUUUGGUAUUAGGAAGAUGUUGGCAUUAUCAGAACAAGUAAGGAAAUAGUCUCUCUUGUGCUAUUUUCUCAAAGAGAACAUGGAAUCCUUCCUGAAAUGGUUAGUGGAAUUUGCCAGUGAGACCCUCUGGACCUGUUUGGUUUUGGAAAUUUAUUGAUCAUUGAUUCAGAUCAUAGCUGUAGGAUUGUACAGAUCAUCUUUCUCCUAGUCUGGGUAUUAGUAGCUUGUAUCUUUCAAGGAGUUGGUCCCUUUCAUCUGUUAUAAAAUGUGUGCGCUUGGAGUUGUUCCUGGGAUUUCUGCAUUAGCUUUGUAUUGUCCGUGGGAUCAGUGGCAGUGAUCCCUUUUUCAAAUAUGAUAUUGGUUCUGUCUUUUUUUUAAAACGAUUGUUAUUUUUUCCAUUAUAGUUGGUUUACAUGUAUAUACUAUACUCUCUGUAACACUUCAAUAAGAUCUAGAGCAACGUCUUAGAAUCAAAUGUAUUAAUAUUCAUGGCAUAAAAAUGUAUUAGCAUUAGUAUGAACACUAAUUUGUAUAAAUAAAGGCUAUAUAACCUAUAUAAUAACUGCAUACCUAUCCAGGUAGAUUUUGCUGUGAAAUGAGGUUUGCCUUAAAUUGUGAAAAACUUUACCUUUCUAGAGCUGGUUUUUUUUUUUUUUUUUUUUUGGAACUUUAGAUAAUGGUUUAAAGACCUGUGCAAGCAAAAUAUGUUAAGAUUUCAACAUCUGGCUAGCCCUGGGGGUCAAUUAAAAGAGUUCUUUGAAGUCCUGGCUGUGUUAGAUGGUCUUGUGGUUUGGGGUGUUUAGUCUGAAGGCAGAAGAGUGCACUUUUAGAAGAACAAAAUACAAACUUUGGAGUAAUUAUUGAAAAAGUAAUGAGUAAAAUAUCUUAAUUUGCAUUCUUGACCUUUGUCAUCAGUCAUUACCUUUCAAUAUGUAGUGCUUUGGUUGAAAAGAAUAGCAAUUAACACUAACACUCCCUAGAAAUCUUAAUGUUAAAAAUUGCCUUAUUUUUUUAAGCCUCUCUGGGAAGGGAUCCUUGGUGUUUUCAUCUUUUAUUUCUAGCACAUAAAAGCACCUCCUUCUAAAUAUCCUGUGACUGUAAAGAUACUUUUUCAGUUGAGUCUUUUAAAGUACAAAAUUAAGGAAUCUAUUUAUCUCUCAUAUACAGUGUGCACUAACUAACUGUGCUAAGUGCUGAGGAUAUAGUCUGAUGGGAGAGACGCACACAUAAAUAGAAUAUCACAAUAUUAUGUGAUGAGUGAUGUGAGAGGUUAAGUACAGUGUGCCAUGGAACACCAUGUUCUGGGGUGAGAGAAGGAACAGAGAUAAAGUAAGAAGUUAGGCAAGUGAAAUGAGGAGGGAAAUAAAAAAUAUUCUAACAGUGAUUUUCCAAAUGUGAUUCAUGGACCAGCAGCAUCAGCAUCACCUGGGAAUUUGUCAGAAAUAGAGAUUCUCAGUCCUUACCCCAAACCUACUGAAUUUAAAACUCUGAGAACAGGAGCUGAGCAAUCUAUUUCAAUAAGGUUGAUCAUCUGGAUGAUUCUGAUGCAAACUUAAGUUUGAGAACCAUGGUUCUAAACAGCAAACAUGAAAAAAGAAUCAGAGCAUAUAGGCAGUCUACUAUAAAUAGCAAGAUGUUAGUGUAACUGAAUGGCAUUAGGCCAUAGGAGAGUUUUAAGCAGAAAAAGUAAAAAUCUAACUUUUAUUUUAUUUUAUUUUAUCUUAUCUUUUUAGGGCCACAUCUGCGGCAUAUGGAGGUUCUCAGGCUAGGUAUUGAAUUGGAGCUGUAGCUGCUGGACAAUGCCACAGUCACAGCAAUGCCAGAUUGGAGCCACAUCUGCGACCUACACCACAGCUCACAGCAGCGCCGGAUCCCUAACCCACUGAGCAAGGCCAGGGACUGAACCUGUGUCCUCAUGGGUUCCAGUCAGAUUUGUUUACACUGAGCCAUGACAGGAACUCCCUAACUUAAAUUUUAAAAGAGUUUCUUCACAAGGUAAAAAAUUGACUGAGUAAAGGGAGCAUGAGAUGAUGGAGGUUUGAACUAGGGUGGCAGAGGUGGAGGUAAUGAGAACAGUGUGUCUGGUAGUGUGAAUAAGCUUUGUAGGUAAAACUGAUUGGACUGAUUGAAUGUUCCAAUACAUUGGAUUUGGGAUGUGAGAGAAAGAAAGGAAUCAAGGUUUGGGCCUGAGCAAGAAUGGUAUUACUACUUCUAUGAAAUGAAGAAGGAAGAGCAGUACGGGGCAGAAGAUUAGCAGUUUAGUUUUGGACUUGUUGAGCUGCCUGUAGACAUCCAAAUGGAAAUGUCAGAUAGCCUGUUGGGUAUGUAUACAUGUCUAUAGUUUGCAUAGGAGUGGCCUAGAUAUCCAAAUUUGGAAGACAGUAGCAUGUAAAUGAUAUUUAAAUUCAUGAAAUGGAUAAGAACUCCAAUGAGAUCUGUAUGUAGGUAAGGAAGAGAAGGGGUCUAUGCAAUGAGACCUGGACACUCUGAUUUUAAGAGUUUAGGAAGAUAAUAGACUUCCUAUAUCUUAACUCAAUAGAAAAUGGAGAGAAAGAAUGGCCACUGAGGUAGGAGGAGAACCACAGAUGGGGUGUCUUGGAGAUCUAGUGAAAAAACUUUUAGGAAGAAGAAACCAUUCAAUAAGUCAGUUGCUACUCAUAGGUGGAAUGAGAUAAAAGCUGAGAUGUAUCCUUGAGAUUUGACUGCAUGGAGGUCAUUGGUAAUCCUGAUUAAGUGCAGCUUUGAUGACAUAAUGGGAAAAAGACCAGGUUGGAGUGUGCUCAAGAGAGAAAGGAGAGUUUAGUGGAAAUUAAGUACAGACAAUUCUUUGGAAGAGCUUUGAUCAGGGGGAGGAGGUGCAAAGAGAAGAGGCAGUAGCUCUGUUCUAAGAACAAUGCGGAGCCUAUGAAGAACUCUUGGUGCCUACUAUUUCAAGGACAGUUUAAAAUACUUGAUAUUGCUGUUUUGAUAAUGUGUCUUCAUUAGCUAUUACAUGUCAGAAAGAGUGAUUAUGUUAGCUAAUAUCUUAAUCUUAUGUGCUAUGAAACAAUGUCAUUGAAAGUGAAUAACUCAACUAUUUAAGGAAUAUAUGAUAUUAGAUUUUGAUUCUCUGCUUUAAGUAAGAAGAGAUUUGUUCCAUGCCUUUAUGUGUUAUGCGCGCGCGAGUGUGUGUGUGUGUGUGUGUGUGUGUGUGUGUGUGUGUGUGUGUGUGUGUGUGCAGUUGAACCUUGAACAACUUGGGUUUGAAAUGAAGGGCCAUUUAUUUAUUUUUAAAUUUUUUUUAAUUUUUUUGCUUUUUAGGACUGUACCUGCAACAUGUGGAGGUUCCCAGGCAAGGGGUCCAAUCGAAGCUGCAGCUGCUGGCCUAUGCCACAGCCACAGCAACAUGGGAUCUGAGCCAAGUCUGCCACCUAUACCACAGCUCAUGGCAUCACCUGAUCCUUAACCCACUGAGCAAGGCCAGGGUUUGAACCUGCAUCCUCAUGGGUACUAGUCGGGUUUGAUACUGCCGACUCACAGGGGGAAUUCCACAGGGGCCAUUUAUACCCUUUUUUUCCCCUUAAAUAUGUUGGAAAUUUUUAUGGAGAUUUGUGAUAAUUUGAAAAUAGCUUGCAGACAAGCCAUAUAGCCUAGAAAUAUUUUUUUAAAAAAGAAGUUAAGUGUAUCAUGAAUGCUUAAAAUACUUGUAGACCUCCAUGGCCAGGGAUCAAACCCGCACCUCCAAAGUGAUCCAAGCCACUGCAGUCAGGUUCUUUAACCUACUGUGCCAUGUCGGGAACUCCUACAAGUCUAUUAUAAGCAGUUAAAAUUUAUCCAAACCUACACAAACACUUAAACCCCAUCUAUGGCACCAUUCCCAGUUGAGGGAAAGGUAAACAAAUGUAAAGAUGCAAGAGUAAAGCAUAACUGCAUAAAAUUAACUGUAGCACAUAGGAUACUGUAGUAAUAAUUUUGUAGUUACCUCCUGUUGCUGUAAGCAGUGAGCACAAGUGUUGGAAGUAUCCAACACUUGAUACUGGAGUCAUCUCUCCAGUAAAUUGCAUAUUGCAUAAAAAGUGAUCUCUUGUGGUUUUCAAGUAUUUUUUAUGUUUAGUGCAAUACCAUAAACCUUGAAUAACAGCAUACAAAGGGCCACUAGUGAUCCUGAAAGUGUUCCCAGAAGCAGAGUCAUGACAUUACAAGAAAAAAAAUUUUUUUCUUUUGGCUUUUUGGCUUUUAGGGCUGCACCUGUGACACAUGGAGGUUCCCAAACUAGGGGUCCAAUUGGAGCUGUAGCUGCUGGCCUACACUACAGGAUCUGAUCUGUGUCUGCAGUCUAUACCACAGCUCACAGCAACGCCAGAUCCUUAAGCCACUGAGCGAGGCCAGGGAUCAAACCCACAUGCUAAUGGAUGCUGGUCGGGUUCGUUAACCGCUGAGUCUUGAUGGGAACUCCACAAGAAAAAAUUAAAUAGCUUAAUGUGUACUAUAGAUUGAGGUUGGCAACUGCAUUUACCAUUUCAAGAUAAAUGAAUCCAGUAUAAGGAUCAUUGUAAAAAAAAAAAAAAAAAA